RNAcentral lists this ribosomal RNA (493 nucleotides) under uncultured bacterium. RNAcentral's name for it is "bacterial SSU rRNA". It matches the Rfam family "Bacterial small subunit ribosomal RNA", at positions 28 to 514 of the family's 1533-position model. The record is from RNAcentral.
GAUGAACGCUAGCGGCAGGCUUAAUACAUGCAAGUCGUGGGGCAGCAGGUUUGUAGCAAUACAGAUGCUGGCGACCGGCAAACGGGUGCGGAACACGUACAGAACCUUCCUUUGAGCGGGGAAUAGCCCAGAGAAAUUUGGAUUAAUACCCCAUAGUAUAAUGAAGUGGCAUCACUUUAUUAUUAAAGAUUUAUCACUCGAAGAUGGCUGUGCGGCUGAUUAGGUAGUUGGCGGGGUAAAGGCCCACCAAGCCUGCGAUCAGUGACUGGUGUGAGAGCACGACCAGUCACACGGGCACUGAGACACGGGCCCGACUCCUACGGGAGGCAGCAGUAAGGAAUAUUGGUCAAUGGAGGCAACUCUGAACCAGCCAUGCCGCGUGGAGGAUGAAGGUCCUCUGGAUUGUAAACUUCUUUAUAUGGGACGAAAAAGGCUUUUCUAAGUCGUCUGACGGUACCAUAUGAAUAAGCACCGGCUAACUCCGUGCCAGCAG